UACAGAGGUGGCAAGCGUUGUUCGGAAUUACUGGGCGUAAAGGGCGCGUAGGCGGUUCGUUAAGUCCCGCGUGAAAGCCCCCGGCUCAACUGGGGAACGGCGCGGGAAACUGUCGGGCUUGAGUUCGGGAGAGGGAAGCGGAAUUCCGGGUGUAGCGGUGAAAUGCGUAGAUAUCCGGAGGAACACCGGUGGCGAAGGCGGCUUCCUGGACCGACACUGACGCUGAGGCGCGAAAGCUAGGGGAGCAAACGGG
RNAcentral lists this ribosomal RNA (253 nucleotides) under uncultured bacterium. Its description in RNAcentral is "partial 16S ribosomal RNA". It matches the Rfam family "Bacterial small subunit ribosomal RNA", at positions 524 to 776 of the family's 1533-position model. The record is from RNAcentral.